Long non-coding RNA from Brassica rapa (field mustard), 3324 nucleotides. RefSeq lists it as uncharacterized. The record is from RefSeq and is a predicted model, not a curated record. NCBI's taxonomy places the organism in Eukaryota, Viridiplantae, Streptophyta, Magnoliopsida, Brassicales, Brassicaceae.
GGAGUUCUUUCAGGAUGUGUUCCGGAAAAAGUAAGUCAACUUUGGUGACAUAGGUAGCCAAAUCAAUUAUCUUAAGCCUUUUUCACAUAUCACAACUCGGGAUGUUACAAUAAAGGUAUAGAUUAUUUUAGAAUUUAGAGAUAACCUUCUGGGUUUUUGUUUCCAUAAUUUGGUUUUAGAUCAAUUCUUCAAAGCUGCACCUUUGGGCUAUAUAGUUUACAAAUCAUGGUUCUUCUUUUAAUUUUUUUCAGCAUCUCCGAACAUAAUAUGAUGUCUUGGUAUCGGUUUCGUCCCAAAAGGUUCGAGAUUUUUUGAUUACCAAUUAUUAUAAAUAGCUGUAAAGAUCAUGACUCAUGAGACAUGUUAACUAUGAACCAGUAAUAAUAAUAUUAGAUAACAAAAUCUUGCUUUAGUUAGGAAUCUAUGAACAAGUUUUGUCUUUUUCCAUCUACAUUGGAGUUCCCAUGAUACAAAGAUAUUUUUAUGCUUGGUUAAUUCUUAUUUUUUUUAAUCUGAAUGUUUUCAUGCAUUAGCUGCAAGUUGUAGCAUAGGUUUCUUUACACCAGAUGGCGUUUAGAGUAGUAUGUCAGCUAAAAAAAUUGGUAGUGAGCUUUACACCAGUUCCUAGGUGUAACCUAAAUCAAUAUCUUCUUUGCAUAAUUCAUUAAGUCUUUUAAAGUGGCAGAAAUAUAAAGAAAAGUUGAUGAUGUGGGUCCCAGAUUCAACUUGCAUUCUCCUGCCGGUGUAGGAUUUAUUGAUGAAGGGCAGUUCAAGAGGCCUUAGAGAAAAUCACAAUAUAGCAUAUGCAGCUAAGCGGGGCUAAGGGAGGUUGCAAACAAAAUUUGGGUAUUGUGCUGAGCAAUUGGGCGUUAAAAAUCUGGUCAGUGUGCUUUUAUACUUUUGGUCUGUAUUUUGUAUGGAUGACAGUUCUAAUGCUGCUUGAGUUGAAGGUUGAUGAGUUGAAGAUGCAAAGGAGGCGCCAGAGGAGAAGGCAUUGAACUUUGUGUGUGCAAUGUUAGAAAAUCCUUAUGCUGUUCUUCAGGGUUCACGACAUAUGGCUGCAGUUGAUGGAGAAUGCAGUAGUUUCAACAAGUCCAACAUGGUGAUGGAGUAAUAGACUUUUUUCCAUCAGUUUUUGGAGUUAGUGGUAACAUGAAAAGCCAUUUAGCAAGUUUGAGUGUGUGCAAUGGCUUCUCAUUCAGAAGAUAGAAGAUAGAAGAGAAGAAGAGAAGAAACGUCUUCAAGUCACCUUCAAUCUGCCUGAAAAUUGCAUGAAUAGGCUAAUUAGUGAACGCAGUGAACACUAUCCAAGUGUUGGUGCAGUAAGUAUGCUCAACUCUGGAAUGAGCAAUACAGGAUGAUGCACUUCAUAAUUUUUUUUGCCAUCAAUGGAAAAAGAAGCAAGAUCCUUGCUAACUAGCAGAGCAAAGAGUCGGCUGCUUUCAGAGUAUGGACAGGUUUUGUAGGACAAGGUGUCUGCAGGUCCAUAUCAAAAGAAAGAAAUGUACAUUAGCUCCUUAACUCAGAUCAGGAAGCUGCACUACUUCAUGUGUAUUCAGUUUCAGUCAGAAUAUUAGUGAUCAUUGACGAGCUCGACACUACUAUUUUACCGUGACCCGUCAGCUAUAUUAAUUUAAGAAUAUCAUUAAUACUUGGAUUUAUUGAUUCUUCAAUAUGAAAACAGUCAACUUUCAUCUACUUCUAAUUUGUUGGUAGUGCCGUAUGGUCUGUAUUUAAUUUGUGUAACUUAUUUUGAUUUAGAAUUGUUAAAGUUUUAUAAUGAUAACUCCUAGACUUUAUCUACGAUAUUUUCUUUUCCUUCCAUUUUUAAAUAUUAGUUUUCCUACUCUCACAAAAAACCUACUAAAUUUAUUAUAACAUGAUUUUUUAAUUCUAAAAAUUCCCAAAAUUCAAUCCUUAGAAAUAAAAAAUAGAUCAGUUCAUCUGAUUAGAAUACUAAAAACAAUUGAGUACAAAACAAAAAGUGAAAUAAUAAAGACUAGGAUAACAAAAUAUAUCUAAAUUAAAAAAAAUAAGACACAUAAAUGUAUACAUAAAUUCUAUAAAAUUAAAUUAUUAAGUGGACAAUUUCAAUCAAUUAAAAUAAUACAUAUAUUAUAUUCUAAUAAUAAACUGUUAUUCAUUUUUAUAAAAAGAUUAUUCAAAUUAAAAAAAUUAAAAAUUACAUGAAAUAAGCAAGGAAAAAAUAAUAAAAGUAUAAAAUUAAUAUUAUUAAAAAUAAAUUAAAUAAUAAAACCAAUGGGUAGUGUGGACAAAAUCUUAUAUAUACUAGGGGCUGAUUUAGUUUCUCUGGUAUAUGCCACAUAGGCAAACACUAACCAAUAAAAUCAUAAAAAUAAUAUUUUAUGUAUAUAUUAAUAAGAAAGAUUGCACCAUGUACACAAAACAUUCUCUCUAAUUAGGUAAAUAUCCGAAAUUUCAUAUGAUGGUACCUUGAUCGCUAAACACCAAAUUUUACUUAGACCAUCUUCAAUGUAUUAUCCUAUUUUCACAUAUAAAAUAGAGAAACUCUAUAAUAGAUUUGAGAUAUGCUCCAAUGUAUUUCUCUAUAAUAGCAAUCUCUAAAUAUAAAGUAAAAAAUAAAGGAAUACUAUUUUUUCCUCUAUAAAUAGAGGAAAAUAUAGAGAUCUCUAUUAUAAAGAAAAACAUAUAUGUGGGUUGGAGAACUUUCACUUCUAAAUGCUAUUAUAUAGGUGAAAAUACCAAUGUGUUGGAGAUGCUCUUAUAGGUAGAUUGGUAAUAUCCAUGUUUUUUGUAUUAUGAACCUAUUGACUAUUAAUAAAAGAUUAAAGCGAUUAUGUCAAAUUAAUACGUUCGAUUUGUUUUCUAAAUCUAAAUAUCAAUCAAUACAAAUAAAUAAAAUUAUCUUAUAUCUAGAUAAAUAUGUGUUUAGUAAAAACAAUUUUAAUAAGUAACGUGCAAAUAAAAAAACAUUUUUUCAACAAUGUGUAAGCAUCAAAAAAUCACAAAAUGAUGGAGAUCAAAUAAUCUAGAAAUCUAUGAAAAUAUAUUGAAAAUAAUUUUAGUAAUCUAUAAAAAUAUCUGAAUAAAUCACAUUUUAUAUUAACUGAGAGAUAAAAUACAUAAAAAGAUAAAAAAAAAAUGAUUCUUGAACUCAAACGCAGAGUUUACUUUAUGUAUUGUACUCCAUCCGUUUCAUAAAGAAUGCCACUUUGUCAUUUUUCACAUAGAUUAAAAAUAUAACUGAAAUGCAUUUAAGUUCUUAUUAGUUAUACCUAUUCAGCCAAUAGUAUUUUAGAUAAACAGAAUUAUUUAUAAAACUAAUGCAUUUGUAACUAAUAU